This 253-nucleotide ribosomal RNA is filed under the name uncultured bacterium. RNAcentral describes it as "partial 16S ribosomal RNA". It matches the Rfam family "Bacterial small subunit ribosomal RNA", at positions 524 to 776 of the family's 1533-position model. The record is from RNAcentral.
UACGUAGGGGGCAAGCGUUGUCCGGAAUUAUUGGGCGUAAAGCGCUUGUAGGCGGCACGUCAAGUCGCGUGUGAAAUCCCCAGGCUUAACCUGGGAAGUGCGCGCGAAACUGACGAGCUUGAGUGCCGGAGAGGGUCGCGGAAUUCCCGGUGUAGAGGUGAAAUUCGUAGAUAUCGGGAGGAACACCAGUGGCGAAGGCGGCGACCUGGACGGACACUGACGCUGAGACGCGAAAGCGUGGGGAGCAAACAGG